Mizuhopecten yessoensis (Yesso scallop) is the source of this 553-nucleotide long non-coding RNA. RefSeq lists it as uncharacterized. The transcript has 4 exons. Lineage: Eukaryota; Metazoa; Mollusca; Bivalvia; Pectinida; Pectinidae. The record is from RefSeq and is a predicted model, not a curated record.
GACGUUUAGAACAUGCUUUGGUAACCUUGACCUUUCUUUAGAAGCCAUCGCUGUAGACUUGACCGAACCGGCGUUGAAAUAAUUCCACUAUGUCGUCUGCUUGGAGAGCGGUUGGCAUAAGCUACAUUCAGUACUCUGGCAUAUGUGCCCAGGCUGUGAGGAACGCACUGAAACCAGAAAUCCAGCAGCAAUUGUCGAAAAAAGGAGAGUCGAUCAUGAAAGUGACAAAGUGGGAGGGAGGAAAACCUAUCAAUGGAAAUGGCAAUAUGAUUAAUUAGCUCAUGAUGUCAACAGCCACCUUUACUCUGGAUGAGGAUGUAGUGACGAAGGCUAGCUAACAUUGGCUGCUGGUGGAUGGUUUAGUGUGUGUAUUUGCUGGUGUUAGGUGUGUGAUGAUCCUAAGACUAGAGGACAUUUGACAUUUCAAUGAACAAGGACCACUCAAAAUUUCACCAUUGAGAGGACAUUCAAUCAAGCUAGUAAAUACAGGAUUUGGAUGUUAAAUAUAUAUCAUUUACAGCAGUCAGCUUUGUAAAUAAAAGGUAUAAAAGAC